AUUGAAGAAGGGUUUUGGUAGCAAAGAGAGUAAUUAGGGCAUCAAUAUAGAUGAAUGGAGAUGAAUGAUGAAAAUCUCUAUUCCUAUUGGUCAAAAAUCAUGACCAAUAGGCUUUGAGGAGGCUGCCCAAGGCCAUAUUAGGGAUUAGGGUUAGUUUUUCGGAGCUAUUUGAGCUUUGAAGGCUAAGGUCAGCAAGUUUAAGUUUUUGGCUAUGGUUUUGGUACAAAUCUUA
RNAcentral lists this long non-coding RNA (232 nucleotides) under Physcomitrium patens. RNAcentral describes it as "long non-coding RNA (PPAT_LNC014840)". The record is from RNAcentral. Lineage: Eukaryota; Viridiplantae; Streptophyta; Bryopsida; Funariales; Funariaceae.